Molecule: long non-coding RNA, 447 nt
Organism: Saccostrea cuccullata (small rock oyster)
Lineage: Eukaryota; Metazoa; Mollusca; Bivalvia; Ostreida; Ostreidae
Exons: 4
Source: RefSeq, a predicted model, not a curated record
UAAUGCAUCAGGUUGUUUUCAUUUUCGCAAUUGUACAUUCAUAUGGAUACGGAUGCAGUAAAUCGGGUUUCUAUGGAUCCAACUGUUCUCUUUCGUGUCCUAGCAAUUGUUGGAAUGAUAAUUGCCACAUAGUAACGGGUACGUGUGAUGGAUGUAAACCUGGAUAUCAUGGUGAUCGGUGUGAAAUAGAAUGUAAUUCCAAUAUGUUUGGAAUUAAUUGUUGGGAGAUGUGUGGAAAUUGCAGAGAUGGAGCUCAAUGCCACCAUAUAACUGGAACUUGCCCAUCAGGAUGUUGCCCAGGGUAUUUUGGUGAUACUUGUACUGAAGUUGAAAGCAUAUUUGAAGACAACCUUAGAGCCUACAUUCACGCCGGUGAGAUGGUCGUUUCUGCCAUUGUUGUUUUUCUUCUUCUUCUUUGCUUUUGCGUCAAAUAACCUACGUCAUCAA